AAAGGAUUUGAGUCCACCCUUGAGCUUUUCUAUAAUUAACAAUACAACAACAGACUCAAGAGACAUUUAAAUAAGGAACAGCUUAUUUAAAGCAGGAAACAACCUCAAACACAGGGUAAUUUAUUUAUCAAUGACCAAGUGGGCCUAAGAGCAGCCACCUUCUAAAAAGCGUUAAAGCUUAAUCAUUAAGACCUAUAAUUCCUAAAACAACAUACAACCCAUAUACACUAUCGAGUGAUUCUAUAAACCUAUAGAAAGCCUAAUGCUAAAACUAGUAACAAGAAGAAGACCUUCUCCUUAAUGUAAGCGCAAGCCAAACAAACCAUCAGGCAUAUACCGCUAUGAGUAGAAAGUAGUAACUUCACAAGAAAAACCUACUAACUUAAGCGUUAACCUUACACAAGAACAUUACAGAAAAGAUUAAAAAAAGAGGAAGGAACUCGGCAAACUAUUAAUCCCGCCUGUUUACCAAAAACAUCGCCUUCUGAUAAAAUAUAGAAGGUCCAGCCUGCCCAGUGACAAAGUUAAACGGCCGAGGUACCCUAACCGUGCAAAGGCGG
This 560-nucleotide ribosomal RNA is filed under the name Chiasmocleis bassleri (Bassler's humming frog). RNAcentral describes it as "Syncope bassleri (Bassler's humming frog) 16S ribosomal RNA". Lineage: Eukaryota; Metazoa; Chordata; Amphibia; Anura; Microhylidae. The record is from RNAcentral.